GACGAACGCUGGCGGCGUGCUUAACACAUGCAAGUCGAGCGGAAAGGCCCUUUCGGGGGUACUCGAGCGGCGAACGGGUGAGUAACACGUGAGUAAUCUGCCCUUGGCUUUGGGAUAACUACCGGAAACGGUGGCUAAUACCGCAUACGAUCCAAGGAUGAAAGCGGGGGAUCGCAAGACCUCGCGCGUUUGGAGCGGCCGAUGGCAGAUUAGGUAGUUGGUGAGGUAAAGGCUUACCAAGCCUGCGAUCUGUAGCUGGUCUGAGAGGAUGAUCAGCCACACUGGGACUGAGACACGGCCCAGACUCCUACGGGAGGCAGCAGUGGGGAAUUUUGGACAAUGGGCGAAAGCCUGAUCCAGCCAUUCCGCGUGCAGGAUGAAGGCCCUCGGGUUGUAAACUGCUUUUGUACGGAACGAAAAGGCUCUUGCUAAUACUAGGAGUCCAUGACGGUACCGUAAGAAUAAGCACCGGCUAACUACGUGCCAGCAGCCGCGGUAAU
Molecule: ribosomal RNA, 500 nt
Filed under: uncultured bacterium
Lineage: Bacteria
Description: bacterial SSU rRNA
Rfam family: Bacterial small subunit ribosomal RNA
Source: RNAcentral